RNA transcript from Notolabrus celidotus (New Zealand spotty), 4343 nucleotides. It is a transcript of the gene named regulator of G-protein signaling 22, with no coding region annotated. The record is from RefSeq and is a predicted model, not a curated record. Lineage: Eukaryota; Metazoa; Chordata; Actinopteri; Labriformes; Labridae. The transcript is spliced from 25 exons.
GAAAGGUUUUAAUAGUUCUAAUGGGUCAAGUUUUUUCCAUACAGCAUUAGAUAAAUAAGAUUAGUUGGUAAUAGUUAUAUUGAUCCUGUGAACACAUUAGGAAAGAGUAAACUUAAGGUUAGAACCACAAGAACUUGCUUCUCUGGUCAGACCUAGUUAAACUUUUACCGCCCCCUGUGUUUUGAAUUGAGUUCACUUCCAUAGCAACCUGCAGUGUGUACAAAAUUACACUGAAAGGUUUGUGUCUGGCAAACUGCUCAAUGGCAGUCAGUGUGAAAAUACUGUAAGAGUAUUUUUUGUUCUUGUGGGGGACAAUGUGUGCAGCAAUGCUGACAGAGUUUACUCCUCUUACAGCAGACAAUUUUGAAACCUCUUUGGCUUCUGAUGACCUACUGACUCACUACUUCAAUGAUUUCUUGAGUCUGCCGUCUUUCCCAAAGGCUCUGAUGUACAACCAGGAGACGGGCUUGUUCGAGGUGGUGAGUGAAGCUGCUGAGUUUGUGUCCAGGAGUAUCAGACGUGACCUACACCGCAGCAAAUCACAACUUCUUAAUGAUGGCCCUGCAGCAAUGAUCAGAUCCCCGCCUGUAGAAAAUCAUUACACCGUCUGUUGCCUGGACAAAGAGGAAGGAAUUCAGUGGAUAAUGAGGGAGAGGCUGCCCUUUUUCCUCCAAAGUGAAUACUACAUCGAAUACAGACUUGCAAAGCUGUUGUCACAAUGGGACCCAAACUACUGUCUUCAGAGGAGGAAACUCACAUCGGAUCAAACCUUUGUGUCAGCACGGCAACAUCUUCAGUCGCAUUCCAACCUGAUUAAUAACAAAGCGCUGAAAGUCCCUACGUGUUCAUUUUCUCAAGAGGACAUCUCAGCAAACCAAGCAGCUGUGGGGUUUCACAACAUAGCACAUCCAUCAUCUGAAGAGAAGGAGCUUCUCAACACAAAAUCCUGCCCUGAGCCAGAAAACCCCCAUGCUAUUUCUUCUCUGUCCCCCUUCAGCCUUGAACUUAGAGAACCCAAAGGUAUCUUCAGCUCACAGGCAGACUUACAACAGCAUGUUACAGCACCAUCAGCUGGCAACUUAGAGGAGAAACAUCCCAAGGUCAACAGCUUAACUUUAGAUUCUUCUUAUCAACAAGCAGAGAUCAUGGCUGCAGAGAUAGUGCGACAGGUGCUAAUCAAUGCACUGAAUGUGAUGAAUACACAGAGCAAGACAGACAUUUCAGACUGUCUCUUUAAGUUAGGAGACCAGACAGGAGGAGAAAGACUGGAGGGGGAGAAAGAAACAGCUCAAGAGAGAAAGAGCAAAACUGGAGAGGAAGAAAAGGCAAAUAGGCCCAAGAAGAAUUGUGAGGUGGGAGAUUGGGGCACGGAUCAGGAAAAUGUUCUUGAUGUGUGUUGCCCUGGUCCCUGCUGCCAUGGCACUAGACCAGGAUUCGAGGAGUUCAAGGAGUUUUUGCGAGGGACAUGUGGAGAGAAGCUGCUCAACCUGUGGAUGGAUAUAGAGAGACUGAAAGCCACACAGAGGAGAGAGCGAAAGAAAAGGUAUGUGGUCUUGAUGAGGAGCUCCUACCUCCUGAGCAGCAGCCAGAGCAGCCUGAACGUGGAGCUGCUCUCCAGGCUGGGGCUCUCUACCUCCCCCUGCUGGACAGAGGAGAAACUGUGCCUCAUUCAGCCUUUCCUUACUGAGUCCCUGCUCCACUACUGGGUUCCAAGGUUCGGGACUUCCCAGCAUGUCCAGAAAGACCACGGUGACCAUCCUCAUCCAGGACUGUGGGAAGAGAUGUGUUUUAGCCCUCUGUCAGGCACACAGAAUCAGCUGGGCUGUUGGACCCUGUCUCUUCUCUGCUCAGACUCCACCCUACCCCUGUCAUCUCCAGCUGUCCACACGCAGUUAUAUUCCAGCAGAAGUCAGCUCCUGAGCAGCAGAAGGAUAGAGAAGAUGUUACAGGCUCUGUGUGUUGACUCGUGGGCCGGUUUAUACUUCACAAACUUCUGUGAACAAUCUGGAAACCAGUUGUGGGAGAAUGCUGUUAACUUCUGGAUGGACCUGCAGCACUACCGUGAGCUGUUCUAUCAAGACGGACUGGACCCCUACAGAGUACAGAGAGAGGCACAGUUGCUUUACUCUACUUAUCUUUUCAGCUCUGCCAGAAGGAGUGUUGGUGUAAAUGAAGAGAUCAGGAGGGAGGUGUACAGUUGUAUGAUCCCUGCCUUUGAGGAGCUGUUUGACAGGGCUGAGGAGCACACACUGAACAUCCUGCUGGAGCCGUGGAUGCUGCUGGUCAGCAGAGACGACGGCUCCUUCCAGAAGGUCUGCUUGCUGGAGGAGGUGCGCUGUGUUGACAGUCCGGAGUACAGGGAACUCCAGAGUCUUUACAAGGAAUCAAAGCGUCGACUAAAUCAAAUGGAGCAGUGUGAGUCCACACUGUCGUCCUCUCCUGUUACUCCUUCUAGUCUCCUCUCAAUGGGUUUUGGGACACCAGAGACCCGGUCAAGAGUGUCCCAGAAUUACCAAGGGUACCGGCUGGGUUCCUUACUUCGUCAUCGACAUGAGAUCGGGCAUUUUAUGUCCUUCUUAAAGAGUCAGAACGCCAGCAUCCAUCUGACAUGCUGGCUGGAUCUGGAGCAGUACAAGAGGACUCCACAGAAGGACACGGCAGUCAGAGAGGAGAGGUCGUCUCAUAUUGCAACCAGCUACCUCAACUGGAAGUACUUCUUCGGGCCUGACAGUCCGGCCACAACAGAGCAACAGAACGAUAUAUUGCGUUUGGCAGGAGGACAGGAGCGUCUGAGGCUAGACUGCCUCUCAAACCCAGUCAUCGUGGAGAUUCAGGAUAUCGUCAGGAGUCACAUUGAGAAGAGAUGGCUGCCUUUGUUUUUGUCCACGGCAGAGUUCACCGAGCGACAGAAGCACCAAUCAAAGCCCCAAGCAGCAGACAGGCUCUCGCUAAACCCCUACAGUCGGCGCAGAGCGAGGAGAGAAGCCUGGAAGGCUGAGGGAUUGUGGAUGAGUUCCUCCAAAGAGAUUCUCCUGUUUCGACGGAUCCUCCUCAACCCGGCCACUUGUCUGCAGUUCCAGCACUUUGUCUUUCUAAAGGGAGACCUCCUGGAAAAUGACUUGCUAUUCUGGCUGGAGGUGCAGAGGUACAAGGACCUCUGUCAUUCCAACAGUGAUGAGGCUGACAUCCAGCAGAAGAUCUCCACCAUUAUAAACUGCUUCAUUAACUCCUCCAUGCCCCCGGCCCUGCAGAUCGACAUCCCUCCUGAACAGGCCCAGCACAUCCUGGAGGAACGCCACGAGCUGGGCCCGUACAUCUUCAGAGAGGCACAGAUGUCAGUGUUCAGUGAACUGCUCAGGUACUGGCCUGAGUUUCAAGAGCUGAGCAGCUGCGUCCAAGAGGAGCAGCUCCUUCCUCUGCUGCAGGAGAAACGAGUCACACUCAGAGCCAGAGUGCGGAGACUGAGGAGGAAGGAGGACGAAGCGGAGGAGGAAGAGACGGAGAGAAGGAGAGCUCAGAAAAAGUUGGAGAGACGAGAGUCAAGUUUGCAAGAGGAUGACGAGACAGAGACAGAUGAAGAUAAAGUCACAGAAGAGCAGGAGCAAAGUAGAGAAAAAACUCCUACACAGUGGUUGUCGUGGUCCUACUCCAAAUACAUGGCAGCUCUGAAAAGAGAGGAAGUGCUGCUGAGGAGGCAGAGUGAGCUAGACGUCUCCACAGUUUCUGAUUCCUCCUCUCGCUGCAGCGUCAGGUCAGGAGGCAGGAAACACAGCUCCCAGCAGCCGUCAUGUCGCUCCUCCGGGAGGGAGAGCAAACGGCAUAACAGGAGAGUCACAGCCUGCAAUAUGAAGUGACAUCAAGGUGUGUGAAUCGUCUUCAUGUAGCAUGACUUUGACACAACGAGGAUGACGGAGGAGCGUCCUGAGAGGAGCUGCUGCUGACAUCUGGACGAAGAUCUCACCGUAUCCAGUCUGGGACACCAGUUCAGCUGCUCCUCCGAUGGGCUUGGUGAAAACCCCCACGAUGCCUUUCCCCACUCCAGAGAUGACCCCUUUGGCUUUGCUCCCAGCUGAGCUCUGCAUUUCCCAGUUCUUCUGGAAGUUCUGCAUGGGCUGGUCCACGAUGCCUGCGAUGGCCCCUGAAAGAACAAGAAGAAGAUGUUCCCUUUUACUUCUUACGUACUGAAGACAAGACUUGAAUUAAUGUGGCAGAACAACACGUGCAAAUGAUCCCACAGAGAACAUAAGAAUGAAUCCUUCUUCCUCUGUUUCUUUCACUGGUGAGAAAAUAAACAUUUAUCUGUGUUUUCAAGAUGGGGAAUAAAAGCAUGAGGUUUAACUGAA